AACGAACGCUGGCGGCAUGCCUAACACAUGCAAGUCGAACGAGACCUUCGGGUCUAGUGGCGCACGGGUGCGUAACGCGUGGGAAUCUGCCCUUGGGUUCGGAAUAACAGUUAGAAAUGACUGCUAAUACCGGAUAAUGUCUUCGGACCAAAGAUUUAUCGCCCAGGGAUGAGCCCGCGUAGGAUUAGCUAGUUGGUGAGGUAAAGGCUCACCAAGGCGACGAUCCUUAGCUGGUCUGAGAGGAUGAUCAGCCACACUGGGACUGAGACACGGCCCAGACUCCUACGGGAGGCAGCAGUGGGGAAUAUUGGACAAUGGGCGAAAGCCUGAUCCAGCAAUGCCGCGUGAGUGAUGAAGGCCUUAGGGUUGUAAAGCUCUUUACCCGGGAUGAUAAUGACAGUACCGGGAGAAUAAGCCCCCGGCUAACUCCGUGCCAGCAGCCGCGGUAAU
This 450-nucleotide ribosomal RNA is filed under the name uncultured bacterium. Its description in RNAcentral is "bacterial SSU rRNA". It matches the Rfam family "Bacterial small subunit ribosomal RNA", at positions 29 to 524 of the family's 1533-position model. The record is from RNAcentral.